RNAcentral lists this unclassified non-coding RNA (345 nucleotides) under soil metagenome. Its description in RNAcentral is "partial contains 5.8S ribosomal RNA, internal transcribed spacer 2, and large subunit ribosomal RNA". The stretch from base 1 to 121 matches the Rfam family "5.8S ribosomal RNA", at positions 35 to 154 of the family's 154-position model. The record is from RNAcentral.
GAUGAAGAACGUAGCGAAAUGCGAUAAGUAAUGCGAAUUGCAGAAUUUCCGUGAGUCAUCGAAUCUUUGAACGCACAUUGCGCCCACUGGUAUUCCGGUGGGCAUGCCUGUUCGAGCGUCAUUAUCCUCCCUCAAACCCCGGGUUUGGUGUUGGACCCAAGUUGUGUGAACAACUGGUCUCAAAGACAAUGACGGCGUCCGCGGGACCCUCGGUGCAACGAGCUUUUAGGAGCACGCAUCGAGUUGCAAGGACCUUCCGGGCCGGUCUCCUUUACCAUUUUACAAGGUUGACCUCGGAUCAGGUAGGAAUACCCGCUGAACUUAAGCAUAUCAAUAAGCGGAGGA